ACCCCAAAUCAACAGCACAGAGCUGAGCACGCCUGAGGCACCUCAUCCUUCCGUACUACUCCAGCAUUACAAAAGGCUCUGGCAUUGGUAACAAGGUCAGAUUUAUUUCCACUCCACUGUCUGUGAGACACAGCAGUGCUCUCAUUCAGGUCACAGCCUUAACCCCCAGCAGCCCAUCCUCCUGUGGCUGCCCGCAUCCAGCAGGGCUGGGAAAAAAAGCGAGGGUUUUGUUAGAGGAGGCCCUUCGAUCUACGGCUGGAAGAGUUCUUGCAGUACAGAAAGGAAAAACAGCCCCGUGAUCUGCUGUAACUACAGGCAUUGCACAACCAGCCCUGUUUUAUUUUUGGCGUUACAUGUGGCAGGAAAGCAUGACUUAUCCUCCUGGAGUUUUACAGGGCAGAUUCUUUUGCAUUUCAAGUAUCCAAUUUUUUCCUAUGCAGACACAGCCCAAAGCUCCCCAGGUCCUCUCAGCCUGCUUGGGGGUGGCAGGGUGGGAGCUCCCAGCAACUUGUCCAUCAUUUACCCAUUACAGUUAAGGGGCAGGGGUGAGCCCAAGUGAGCACUUUACAGAAGCUUGUCCUUACUAAAUCAGGACUUUUCACAUUGCUUAGGUCUUUAAAUGCAUCCAGGCCCACAUGGGCUCACCUUGACUUGCCCUGUACCCAGGGGAGAGCAUACAGCUUCCUCCUCUGCAGGACCAGAGGCAGCCUGUUUGGGAACUAAGGUGAUACGUUGGGUAUUGACUAAGAGGAGGAAAAAGAGCUGCUUCUGCCCAGGCAGAGCUGUGCCAUGAACCUCAGAGCCUCUCCCUGGGGCCGUACAGCCCCACAGUGGAUCAGUGAGGGCAGCUCCCAUAGCUCCCAUCCCAACGCAUGGCCCACAUUGCUCCAUAGAUAACACAGGGAGACCAAAGGCACUCAAAAUAACAAACACUGCCCAGUGAUGGGCAGCACAUGGACGCUGGGGAUAAUGUUCCUCUUAUCUCUUUUUUGUUGCUCCUCAAAACAGUGUACUUUGAGCGUGGGUGUCUGCCAGCAGCACCAGGACCCCGGCACAAAGCUGCAUGCACUCAGCCUGGGCCAUCCAUCAGCCCUUAUGCAGUGCUGGAAAGCACAGAGGAUGCAGGGAGAGGUGGAGUGGGACACCGUGUGGAGAACAGAACAGCAACAAACACAACUUUGCUGUUAGGGGAAGGGGCUGAUCCUCCUCUCCACCCUCCUGGUCUUUGUUCUCUCUGAAUGCUGAGGCCUCAGGUAAAUGCUGCUGCAUGAGCACAUCCCUCAGCAGCCUCCAGCUUUUCCUUGUGCAAUGGCUGAGCAGAACAGUGCCAGCAAUCAGGAAGAAAGCUUUGGCUGCUCCAUGCAACAAAGUGCUUUUAAACUGGGGUGGGGAGAGGCCAGAAAGCAACUAGAGGCCAGAAAGCAUCUCCCUGGUGCUUGCUGGCAUCAUCCUGACACUCCCACAGAGCACCAUAACCCCACUGAAGGCAGCUAUCACCUUAAAGUCAAGCAGAGAGCUCAGACUAAGGUGACAAUAUCCAGCUGCACAUCACCCUUGGUGGGACAGAGUGACAAAGGCUCGGUGCAGCAGUGCCUGAGGCCUGCUUUGACUUGAGAAGCUCUUGAAAUGGUGGCUGAGCAGGCAGGCUGGUCGUGGGCUCCUCCUGGUGCCUGGAGCAGAGGGUCAGGACUGCUCCCAUCACCGACGUGGGCAGGACCCCAUCCCCUCCCGGUCAGCGUUCUGUCCCUGCUGAACUGCAGCUCUCUGCUUCCUCUCUG
Molecule: long non-coding RNA, 1778 nt
Organism: Gallus gallus (chicken)
Lineage: Eukaryota; Metazoa; Chordata; Aves; Galliformes; Phasianidae
Source: Ensembl